AUAUUGUUUCGCAAUAAGCUUCUUUACAACCCCUCAUCUUCCAUUCUACUCCUUUUUGUAUGAAUCGCUGUCAUGCACCAGUGAGGUGGUACACAAUCAGUUAUCGAAUCAUUUGAUUGAUAUUAAUCAUGUGAUCGAAUAUGGCUUUGGCAGUUAGGUUCUACAGUUGUUACCCCAUUGCAACAUCUAAAGGUUUCCCCUUCAGCCUAAUUGUUAACCAUCCAUUUUGCUGCCCAUGUUUUUUUUUUUUUUAAACAGCAGCUUUGUUGAUCAGCAAUUUCAAUGGCACUUACUGUGAUGUACUGCAUACUACGUUAACAGUUGUGGAUCACAUUGUUUUAUCUCAAGAUGAAACGACGCAAGCAUUUCAUAAUCACAGUUAUUGGUGUCAUCGUAUCCCUGAAAGUAAUGCCCACCAAAAAUCAGUUGCGCACACUAAAAGCAUUGCAGUGUUUUAGAUAAUUGUAAAAACAGCAACACUGAAAGGGACUUUUCAUGUAUGCAAGAACCCACAAAUUAUAUGUAACUGAUGAAGAUGACAGUGAUGCAUUUCUUUUUGUCAUGCACUUGUGCACGCGCUUGUGACAAUUUCUUUUACUCAAUAUAACUUCAUGUUUCCAUUCGCAGCCCAUCUUACCCUCCAGCUCUCAAUCUUCAAAAUAGCGCACAAACAAAAAUGCAUUUGGAUCGUGGGAUUGAAAACAAUCUACAGUAUUUAGAUACUUUAUUACAAACCCAAGCUCAUGUUUGAAAUGAAUUGACCAAGAUGAUAGUUAAUUUUAAAUAAAUUCAGACAUUAAAAGUUCCAGUUGGUUAGUUUAAAAAAAAAAUAGGAAAAUGUUUUUAAAAUUUAGUUUUGGUAAUUUCGUUGUUUUCGUUCAGAAUAGCGCAGCCAGGGAGGGUUUGCGCACGUGUCUGAUUACUUGGGAAAUUCAGCAACAGCGUAACAGUCUACAACACUGCGUCAACCUUUUAAGUGCCAUGCACACUGCACAAUAAGUGUGUUAAAUACAGCAAUGCCGAUAAUAUAUAACGAUACACCAUUUUAAAAUAUAUUAACUAUUUUUUAAACGGUUGAUUUGUUGGGGGGGGGACUAAAGGCUUUCUCCUAGGUUGUCGCUUUUGUCUGUGGACAAAGUGGGUACUUCACUCCAGCCAUCCCAAUGAGCAGAAUGAGAUCUGAGGGUCAGAGACUGCUAAGAUCAGACCACGCUGAUGCUUUUUGUUUUGUUUUGUUCCGUCAUCUGCCUCUCAAGUGUAUUUUCUGAUGUGCUUUUUUUAAAAUCAAAUGUAAAUAGUAUCAUGUGCUCUUCUGAACUUGAUUGGUUACCGCCUCAGCCGAUCAUAAAUACAGGUGUAUGCUGGAAAAUACUCCCCUUCUCUUGUGGCUGGCCAGUAUCUCCAUGAAAACCUGCUGUCAUCUUAUGGCUUACCUGUU
Hippocampus comes (tiger tail seahorse) is the source of this 1438-nucleotide long non-coding RNA. RefSeq lists it as uncharacterized. Lineage: Eukaryota; Metazoa; Chordata; Actinopteri; Syngnathiformes; Syngnathidae. The transcript is spliced from 2 exons. The record is from RefSeq and is a predicted model, not a curated record.